Molecule: ribosomal RNA, 465 nt
Filed under: uncultured bacterium
Lineage: Bacteria
Description: partial 16S ribosomal RNA
Rfam family: Bacterial small subunit ribosomal RNA
Source: RNAcentral
GACGAACGCUGGCGGCGUGCUUAACACAUGCAAGUCGAACGGAAAGGCCCUGCUUGCAGGGUACUCGAGUGGCGAACGGGUGAGUAACACGUGGGUGAUCUGCCCUGCACUUCGGGAUAAGCCUGGGAAACUGGGUCUAAUACCGGAUAUGACCUUCCAUGUAGUGUGGGGGGUGGAAAGAUUUAUCGGUGUGGGAUGAGCCCGCGGCCUAUCAGCUUGUUGGUGGGGUAAUGGCCUACCAAGGCGUCGACGGGUAGCCGACCUGAGAGGGUGGACGGCCACAUUGGGACUGAGAUACGGCCCAGACUCCUACGGGAGGCAGCAGUGGGGAAUAUUGCACAAUGGGCGGAAGCCUGAUGCAGCGACGCCGCGUGGGGGAUGACGGCCUUCGGGUUGUAAACCUCUUUCGACAGGGACGAAGCUUCGGUGACGGUACCUGUAUAAGAAGCACCGGCUAACUACGUG